UACGUAGGGGGCUAGCGUUGUCCGGAAUCAUUGGGCGUAAGGCGCGUGUAGGCGGCCCGGUAAGUCCGCUGUGAAAGUCGGGGGCUCAACCCUCGAAUGCCGGUGGAUACUGUCGGGCUAGAGUACGGAAGAGGCGAGUGGAAUUCCUGGUGUAGCGGUGAAAUGCGCAGAUAUCGGGAGGAACACCAAUGGCGAAGGCAGCUCACUGGGACGGUAUUGACGCUGAGACGCGAAAGCGUGGGGAGCAAACAGG
This 253-nucleotide ribosomal RNA is filed under the name uncultured bacterium. RNAcentral's name for it is "partial 16S ribosomal RNA". It matches the Rfam family "Bacterial small subunit ribosomal RNA", at positions 524 to 776 of the family's 1533-position model. The record is from RNAcentral.